RNAcentral lists this ribosomal RNA (898 nucleotides) under Pleurostoma richardsiae. RNAcentral's name for it is "LSU rRNA". It matches the Rfam family "Eukaryotic large subunit ribosomal RNA", at positions 38 to 964 of the family's 3401-position model. Lineage: Eukaryota; Fungi; Ascomycota; Sordariomycetes; Calosphaeriales; Pleurostomataceae. The record is from RNAcentral.
GCAUAUCAAUAAGCGGAGGAAAAAGAAACCAACAGGGAUUGCCCCAGUAACGGCGUAAGUGAAGCGGCAACAGCUCAAAUUUGAAAUCUGGCCUCGGCCCGAGUUUGUAAUUUGCAGAGGAUGCUUCUGGCGCGGCGCCUUCCGAGUUCCCUGGAACGGGACGCCACAGAGGGUGAGAGCCCCGUAUGGUCGGACGCCAAGCCAGUGUGAAGCUCCUUCGAAGAGUCGAGUAGUUUGGGAAUGCUGCUCUAAGCGGGAGGUAUACGUCUUCUAAAGCUAAAUACCGGCCAGAGACCGAUAGCGCACAAGUAGAGUGAUCGAAAGAUGAAAAGCACCUUGAAAAGGGGGUUAAACAGUACGUGAAAUUGUUGAAAGGGAAGCGCCUGUGACCAGACUUGCGCCGGGCGGAUCAUCCAGCGUUCUCGCUGGUGCGCUCCGCCCGGCUCAGGCCAGCAUCGGUUCUGGCGGGGGGAUAAAGGCGGCGGGAACGUGGCUCCCCCGGGAGUGUUAUAGCCCGCCGUGCAAUGCCCCCGCCGGGACCGAGGUUCGCGCAUCUGCAAGGAUGCUGGCGUAAUGGUCACCAGCGACCCGUCUUGAAACACGGACCAAGGAGUCGUCCAUUACGGCGAGCGUUUGGGUGUAAAACCCCUGCGCGGAAUGAAAGUAAACGUAGGUGAGAGCUUCGGCGCAUCAUCGACCGAUCCUGAUGUACUCGGAUGGAUUUGAGUAAGAGUCGUACCGGACGGACCCGAAAGAUGGUGAACUAUGCCUGUAUAGGGUGAAGCCAGAGGAAACUCUGGUGGAGGCUCGCAGCGGUUCUGACGUGCAAAUCGAUCGUCAAAUAUGGGCAUGGGGGGCGAAAGACUAAUCGAACCAUCUAGUAGCUGGUUACCGCCGA